AAGAUAAUACAGUAUCAAUUCAAUGAUGAUUACAUUUAUUUAUUAAAAAAAUCAGAUCUCUUUAUCAGGUAACUAAUGGGUAAUAUCAAAACACAUAUGAAUUCAAAUUUUUAGAAAUAUUCCAUUAAAAAAUAAUGAGAUGUGUGAUUUAUCGUUGACAACAUUUCAUUGAAGUAUAAUAGAUUUUCUAGGUGGAUUUCAAUUCAGUAGAGGAUUUCUCUGUUUUCUAUCUGGAUUGUCAGAGUGGAGAAACUUUGAUAUGAUAUGAAGUUUCCAAUAAAAAGGAUUCUGUUCA
Coccinella septempunctata (seven-spotted ladybird) is the source of this 295-nucleotide long non-coding RNA. RefSeq lists it as uncharacterized. The transcript has 2 exons. The record is from RefSeq and is a predicted model, not a curated record. Lineage: Eukaryota; Metazoa; Arthropoda; Insecta; Coleoptera; Coccinellidae.